AAACACCUGAACACUACUGCAAAGGCAGUAGUCAAGCGAACCUGCACAGCAAAAGUGAAAGAGUUGAUCAAAGAACAUCAUCAAGAGAUUGAAGAAGCAGUUUAGCAAUUUUAUUCCAAACACAGUGACAGCGUGUGUUUGGUGAAACGCUGGGAAGAUUCAGCACCUCACACCUGAGUUGUCCUUUAUGUGGGAUAACCUGAGCAGGUACGUGGAAUUUUGCAAAGUCCCUUUUGACCCAGGAGGAUGAUCUGAGAUGACACAUGGCCUACGUGAUGAAAAGAAGUGACAUGAACGACGUAGAUAUGUAACAUAGCGUUGGGUUACUACUGACCUUCUGACCUUACAUCAGAAGCAGUAUCAUCUGCUUUGGACCCCAGAUGACUGUGAGCAACUGAAAUGAACAGAAAGCAAAACCACAGAUAAGAGAGGACUGUUGUAUCUCAUUUAUGUAGGCAACUCGGGAACAUUAAAAAUAUACAGAAUUCCUAUGA
This is a long non-coding RNA of Neofelis nebulosa (Clouded leopard), 494 nucleotides long. RefSeq lists it as uncharacterized. Lineage: Eukaryota; Metazoa; Chordata; Mammalia; Carnivora; Felidae. The record is from RefSeq and is a predicted model, not a curated record. The transcript is spliced from 2 exons.